CCCAAAAAUCUUGGCUUUUGUGAAUGGAAGAACAGAAGAGGAAAUGGAGGCGACUCUCAAAGGAAUUAUCUCUAAUCAACAAUCUUGAUGAUGGCUGUCUUAUGCACAUCUUUAGUUUUCUCUCCCCUAUUCCAGGUAUUAUUACUAAUUGCUGCCCCCUAUUCUUUCAUAUCAAUUUCUCAAUAAUUUAGUAUACUUUUGUAAUUCAGCUUCUUUGGCUCAAAUUAGCAAAACUCAACUCUUAAAAUCAACUAAAAGUUACAAAGAUUGAAUCUUUUUGUGUCUCUCUCAGUCCAAUUCUUGUUUUAUUAAAUUUCUCAAUGAAUUGUUAUGUUUUGUAACAGUUUUCAGUUUUCAGCUUAAUUCACAGUUUCUUUGGUUCAAAUUUGCAAAACCAACUCUUAAUUUUCAUCAACUGAAGGUCAUAACGAUUGAAUAUUUUUGUGUCUCUCUUAGUCCAAUUCUUAUUUAAUUAAAUUUCUUGUAUUAUUAUGAACAUAAUUAGCUUCUUAAUAGAUAAUGCCCCAUAUUGAUUUUAUCAUAGUUAAUGAAAUUGCAAGUUCCAGCUUUAGUUUUCAUCAAUUAAAGGUUACAAAGAUUGGAUUUUUUUGUUUUUUUUUCCCGGUCCUAUUCUAGGCUUUCAAUAGUAGAGUUUCUUGAAUUUUUGUGAACAUAUUUAGCAAGUGCUCCUGUGGAUUUCAUACUUCUGCAUUUUUGAGCUUAGUUGAUUGUUUCUUCAUUUAAAGUUUGCAUUUUGAGUGUCUUUUACAAUCCAGGUCUUGUUCUUCUUUUUUGUUAUGGCUUGAACUUCUGAUUAAUAUAUUCAAAUGGAUAACUGCCGAGAUUCUUUUUCAUCCAUUAGUUUUUUGGUUUUAUAUUACAUGACCAUUUCAAGUUACGUGAUUGUUGAUUAACAGGUUUCAGAUGAGUGGCAUUCAUUUUUUGUGCAUGUGUACCUUGGUCCUUAACUUCUGAAAAAUAUAUCUUUUCAAGGUCACUUGAUCGUUAUCUGUAACAACAAUACAACAUAAAUGUUCAGGGACCUAGCUUUGACUGUAGUUGGAUAACAUCAUAGUCAGUCCUUACUCACCCAAUAAUGGUUGGUUUGCUGUUGGGAGCUGGGAAUAAUUUCUUAUUCUUAACCAAUUAAUCAAUACAAUAAAAAUGUGAUUUGUGUUCGAACCUGUUCUACAGCACAGCUCUAGAGAAAUGUGAGUUUAUUCUUUCCAGCCAGAGUAAAAAAGAGCUGAAUAUAUUUUAGGCUUUGAAACAUUGAAACUCAAGAAAGCAAUCGAGUUUUCCCUAUGUUAAUUAUUAAACAUGUCUGUCGCUUGUCUUGGCUCUUGUUCUAUUGGUACUCUAAGAAAGGUAACUAUAGGUUAAUGAAUUUUCAUUCACCAGCCGUCGCAGUGGCAUGAUUGUAUCAUCUUUCUUUCCUUUUUUUAUACGUUUUUGUUCUUCUCUCUUGAUAUGGAUUCGUCGGCGAUUUUUUUUUUUUUUGGGAGAUCUCCCUUGUUCCAGAGUACUCAAAUAGUUGCCUAUGUUAUGGCUGUAAAAGAGAGAGCGGAACAUAAGCUUCUCAUCGCAUCAGGAGCUUGGUCAUAGAAGAACUCUACUUGACCAAUCAUCAAUGGAUGUGAAUACCCUCGCGUAUCCGAUCAAAAAAUACUGAGGAACUUUCCAAACGAUAGACAUAGGAAUUGUCUUGAGAUCAUAAUACUUGUUCCUGCUCACAUUCUCGAGCUGAAUCAUUUCCAGAACUCCGAUAGCUACCAUAGAGAAUUUUGAAAUGACCGGACUAUACAAUAUCCAUUUCACAAUACCAUUGGCAUCAUUGACGGUAUUCGAGAAACUCGGUGUAAUAUUCUGGGUGCCAAUGUAUGUCACUGUCAUCAUCCCCUUUGCGCAAAAGUUCACAUGCCACGCACGGGGAUUCACUCAGCUAUAGAGAAUGGGUAUACGCCUGGUCAUUUUUAUACUCUUUAUGGUAGCUUCC
This 1996-nucleotide long non-coding RNA is filed under the name Nicotiana tabacum (common tobacco). RNAcentral's name for it is "long non-coding RNA (NTAB_LNC012210)". Lineage: Eukaryota; Viridiplantae; Streptophyta; Magnoliopsida; Solanales; Solanaceae. The record is from RNAcentral.